GGGGCUGUGGCUCAAUGGAAGUGCCUCUGAUCUGCAUGCAGAAGGUCUCAGGUUCAAUCCCUGGCAUCUCCA
Molecule: transfer RNA, 72 nt
Filed under: Sphaerodactylus townsendi
Lineage: Eukaryota; Metazoa; Chordata; Lepidosauria; Squamata; Sphaerodactylidae
Description: tRNA-Ala
Rfam family: tRNA
About the family: Transfer RNA (tRNA) molecules are approximately 80 nucleotides in length. Their secondary structure includes four short double-helical elements and three loops (D, anti-codon, and T loops).
Source: RNAcentral